This 852-nucleotide ribosomal RNA is filed under the name Neofusicladium regnans. RNAcentral describes it as "eukaryotic LSU rRNA". It matches the Rfam family "Eukaryotic large subunit ribosomal RNA", at positions 68 to 942 of the family's 3401-position model. The record is from RNAcentral. Lineage: Eukaryota; Fungi; Ascomycota; Dothideomycetes; Venturiales; Sympoventuriaceae.
ACCGGGAUUGCCCUAGUAACGGCGAGUGAAGCGGCAACAGCUCAAAUUUGAAAUCUGGCGCCUCCGGCGUCCGAGUUGUAAUUUGUAGAGGAUACCUCGGGUGCAGUACCGGUCCAAGUCCCUUGGAACAGGAUGUCAUAGAGGGUGAGAACCCCGUACCUGGCCGGCCCCUGCCCCGCUGUGAGGUUCCUUCGACGAGUCGAGUUGUUUGGGAAUGCAGCUCUAAAUGGGUGGUAAAUUCCAUCUAAAGCUAAAUACUGGCCAGAGACCGAUAGCGCACAAGUAGAGUGAUCGAAAGAUGAAAAGCACUUUGAAAAGAGAGUUAAAAAGUACGUGAAAUUGUUGAAAGGGAAGCGCAUACGGCCAGACUUGCCCGCGGUUGUUCAGCCCGCCUUCUGGCGGGUGCACUCUGCCGCGGUCAGGCCAGCAUCGGUUUCGGCGGUCGGAUAAAGGCGUCGGGAAUGUGGCCCCCUUCGGGGGGUGUUAUAGCCCUUCGCGCAAUGCGGCCAGCCGGGACCGAGGCCCGCGUUUUUACUAGGAUGCUGGCGUAAUGGCCGUAUGCGGCCCGUCUUGAAACACGGACCAAGGAGUCUAACAUCUAUGCGAGUGUUUGGGUGCCAAACCCAUGCGCGUAAUGAAAGUGAACGGAGGUGGGAGCUUAGGCGCACCAUCGACCGAUCCUGAUGUCUUCGGAAGGAUUUGAGUAAGAGCAUAGCUGAUAGGACCCGAAAGAUGGUGAACUAUGCGUGAAUAGGGUGAAGCCAGAGGAAACUCUGGUGGAGGCUCGCAGCGGUUCUGACGUGCAAAUCGAUCGUCAAAUUUGCGUAUAGGGGCGAAAGACUAAUCGAACCA